This 494-nucleotide ribosomal RNA is filed under the name uncultured bacterium. Its description in RNAcentral is "bacterial SSU rRNA". It matches the Rfam family "Bacterial small subunit ribosomal RNA", at positions 899 to 1397 of the family's 1533-position model. The record is from RNAcentral.
ACUCAAAGGAAUAGACGGGGACCCGCACAAGCAGCGGAGCAUGUGGUUUAAUUCGAAGCAACGCGAAGAACCUUACCAGGGCUUGACAUCCCUCUGACAGGCGAGUAACGUCGCCCUCCUUCGGGCAGAGGAGACAGGUGGUGCAUGGUUGUCGUCAGCUCGUGUCGUGAGAUGUUGGGUUAAGUCCCGCAACGAGCGCAACCCUUGUCAUUAGUUGCCAUCAUUAAGUUGGGCACUCUAAUGAGACUGCCGGGGAUAACUCGGAGGAAGGUGGGGAUGACGUCAAAUCAUCAUGCCCCUUAUGUUCUGGGCUACACACGUGCUACAAUGGCCGGUACAACAAGCAGCGAAACCGCGAGGUGGAGCAAACCUCAAAAACCGGUCCCAGUUCGGAUUGCAGGCUGCAACUCGCCUGCAUGAAGUCGGAGUUGCUAGUAAUCGCAGAUCAGAAUGCUGCGGUGAAUGCGUUCCCGGGUCUUGUACACACCGCCCGU